CAUAUUUAUGUUCUACACCUCACACUUAUGUUUAUAUUUAUGUUUAUGUUUAUGUCCAUAUGUUUGCAAUCUAUUCACUUACUAUUAAACCAUAUUAUUAAGGAAUUAGUAAACUAAACGAUUGCUAUAAUAAUUAUGACAAUUUUGUUUAAUUAUUAAAAUUAUUAUUCUUUUUUUUGAUUAAUUUUA
This is a non-coding RNA of Plasmodium falciparum D6, 189 nucleotides long. The record is from Rfam. NCBI's taxonomy places the organism in Eukaryota, Apicomplexa, Aconoidasida, Haemosporida, Plasmodiidae.